Ictalurus punctatus (channel catfish) is the source of this 1032-nucleotide long non-coding RNA. RefSeq lists it as uncharacterized. The transcript is spliced from 6 exons. The record is from RefSeq and is a predicted model, not a curated record. Lineage: Eukaryota; Metazoa; Chordata; Actinopteri; Siluriformes; Ictaluridae.
CUCUGCUGUCCGGAGUUUUCCUCUCACUAUCGCUCCCACGACGGUUCUGCAAUGGCAGGCAUGUGAGAUAAAGCAUUGACGAGGCACAGUAGUUACAGAUAGACAGAGACAAUAUAUGGGAUGAGGUGACAGAUGAGGACUGGCCCCAGCUGUUUCACUGUCACCAGUGACUGAUGGAGAAUUCUGCUGUCUUCCUUGUGAUCAUCUCAUCCAUGACUGCCCAGCUGUGGCUUGCUUUGGACGUGUAAAGGCGGCAACUGAGAUGCUUUGCUCAUAGCAUGAUAAUUUGUGACUUACACAGCAAAUCCCUGUUGCUUGCGUCUGCAUUCGGGGAUAGUUGUUUUCCUCCAGCCUGAGUUGUGGCCCCCUCCACACUUUGCUUGGCCUUUUCCAUCCCAUGAUCCUCAGUAGUCUCCACCUUCACCAAGGUUAGGGAAAUGAGCGUGCAUGCUGAUGUAACAGAUGGCGUCUGAGAUGGAGAGGAAGUGGCUUUUGGGGCAGCGAGACAGGAAGUGAGCCCAUACAAAAGCCUGCUACCAAGACUACAUACUUCCAGACUAAAGCUCGCAAGCAAGAGAUACUCCCUUUAUACCAUCAACUACAGAGAAGAAGAGCUGAAUAAAAUAAUUAGGGCUGCCCAGGAACACCUGAAGCAUCUACCUAAAAAAGGUACAGACGGGGUGACUUGACCCAGAUACUGAAGACUCAGCACUUACUUCUCUACAUUACAUCGAUCUCAUCGAAGCCCUUCUAAUUCCUACUUAGACAUAUUUUUGCCUCGAGAAAUAAGCUUUGUGUAUGUUCUUUUUCUUGAGAAGACAUUCGAGCAAAUCUUUGCCAUCUUGCAGGAACUGAUUAUCAUGUAGGAGGAAAAAGAACAGACUCGCUGUAUACAUUUGUUUUAAUAAGCAUCAGGUGGACUCACCUUGCACGCCGUGGAUGUAAACCUUCAGGCCAGUCCUGAGCUGCUGGUCCUCGACCCUCUCCAGCUGUUUCAACACUUUGGUGAAAGUUUUCUGUAGGCUUUCAUGG